CUCCCAGUGGUGAAAUGGAUAUCACAUGAGUCUUCGGAACUCACUUUUCGGGUUCGAAUCCUGACUGGGAGACCA
RNAcentral lists this transfer RNA (75 nucleotides) under Clostridiales bacterium. RNAcentral describes it as "tRNA-Arg". It matches the Rfam family "tRNA". From Rfam's summary of the family: Transfer RNA (tRNA) molecules are approximately 80 nucleotides in length. Their secondary structure includes four short double-helical elements and three loops (D, anti-codon, and T loops). Further hydrogen bonds mediate the characteristic L-shaped molecular structure. tRNAs have two regions of fundamental functional importance: the anti-codon, which is responsible for specific mRNA codon recognition, and the 3' end, to which the tRNAs corresponding amino acid is attached (by aminoacyl-tRNA synthetases). tRNAs cope with the degeneracy of the genetic code in two manners: having more than one tRNA (with a specific anti-codon) for a particular amino acid; and 'wobble' base-pairing, i.e. permitting non-standard base-pairing at the 3rd anti-codon position. RNAcentral also lists the same sequence under 2 other names. The record is from RNAcentral. Lineage: Bacteria; Bacillati; Bacillota; Clostridia; Eubacteriales.